UACGGAGGGUGCAAGCGUUGUCCGGAUUUAUUGGGUUUAAAGGGUGCGUAGGCGGCCCGGUAAGUCAGUGGUGAAAGCCUCCAGCUCAACUGGAGAACUGCCAUUGAUACUGCCGGGCUUGAGUACAGACGAGGUUGGCGGAAUUGAUUGUGUAGCGGUGAAAUGCAUAGAUACAAUCAAGAACUCCGAUUGCGUAGGCAGCUAACUAGGCUGUAACUGACGCUGAUGCACGAAAGCGUGGGGAGCAAACAGG
Molecule: ribosomal RNA, 253 nt
Filed under: uncultured bacterium
Lineage: Bacteria
Description: partial 16S ribosomal RNA
Rfam family: Bacterial small subunit ribosomal RNA
Source: RNAcentral